RNAcentral lists this unclassified non-coding RNA (177 nucleotides) under uncultured Tremella. Its description in RNAcentral is "sequence contains ITS2". Lineage: Eukaryota; Fungi; Basidiomycota; Tremellomycetes; Tremellales; Tremellaceae. The record is from RNAcentral.
AACCUCAAUCCCCCAGGGUUCUGCUCUGUUGGGUGAUUGGAUUUGGGCGUUGCCGGCCUGGCCGGCUCGCCUUAAAGGCGUUAGUGGGAUCAGUAAACCCGAUCGGCGUAAUAAGUUUCGCUGAGGAGGUUUGCGCGAGCCCGCUCACAACCCUCUCCUUUGGAGAACACUCUUUUG